RNAcentral lists this transfer RNA (85 nucleotides) under Felis catus (domestic cat). It matches the Rfam family "tRNA". From Rfam's summary of the family: Transfer RNA (tRNA) molecules are approximately 80 nucleotides in length. Their secondary structure includes four short double-helical elements and three loops (D, anti-codon, and T loops). Lineage: Eukaryota; Metazoa; Chordata; Mammalia; Carnivora; Felidae. The record is from Rfam by way of RNAcentral.
GCCUGAGUGGCUUAGUCGGUUAAGCGUCUGACUUCGGCUCAGGUCAUGAUCUCGCGGUUCGUGGGUUUGAGCCCCACGUCGGGCU